GAUGAAGAACGUAGCAAAUUGCGAUAACUAAUGUGAAUUGCAAAUUCAGUGAAUCAUCGAGUUUUUGAACGCAUCUUGCACUCACAUUUACCUGUGAGUACACCUGAUUCAGUGUUGAUAAAACACCAGCAUGACACAUUUUUUGUGGACAUGGUUAAAGAAAAUAAAAUAAAAUAGUUUAUUUUUAUUAAACAGGAGGUUCCACUAAUCUGUUAGUGGCUUUAUUGGUUUAACCCCUCAUUUCUUCCAAAAUAUUGAAAGUAAAUGAAUGUANAGUCCUUGAUGAAAAUGGACCCUCUCCAUAACUUAAAACUCAACCUGAAUUCAAGUGGGAUUACCCGCUGAACUUAAGCAUAUCAAUAAGCGGAGGA
RNAcentral lists this unclassified non-coding RNA (371 nucleotides) under soil metagenome. RNAcentral describes it as "partial contains internal transcribed spacer 2 and large subunit ribosomal RNA". The stretch from base 1 to 117 matches the Rfam family "5.8S ribosomal RNA", at positions 35 to 154 of the family's 154-position model. The record is from RNAcentral.